RNAcentral lists this ribosomal RNA (253 nucleotides) under uncultured bacterium. RNAcentral's name for it is "partial 16S ribosomal RNA". It matches the Rfam family "Bacterial small subunit ribosomal RNA", at positions 524 to 776 of the family's 1533-position model. The record is from RNAcentral.
UACGUAGGGGGCAAGCGUUGUCCGGAAUCAUUGGGCGUAAAGAGCGUGUAGGCGGCCCGAUAAGUCCGCUGUGAAAGUCCAGGGCUCAACCCUGGGAUGCCGGUGGAUACUGUCGGGCUCGAGUCCGGAAGAGGAGUGUGGAAUUCCUGGUGUAGCGGUGAAAUGCGCAGAUAUCAGGAGGAACACCGGUGGCGAAGGCGGGUCUCUAGUACGGUACUGACGCUGAGACGCGAAAGCGUGGGGAGCGAACAGG